ACGAACGCUGGCGGCGUGCUUAACACAUGCAAGUCGAACGGAAAGGCCCUGCUUUUGCGGGGUGCUCGAGUGGCGAACGGGUGAGUAACACGUGAGUAACCUGCCCUUGACUUUGGGAUAACUUCAGGAAACUGGGGCUAAUACCGGAUAGGAGCUCCUGCUGCAUGGUGGGGGUUGGAAAGUUUCGGCGGUUGGGGAUGGACUCGCGGCUUAUCAGCUUGUUGGUGGGGUAGUGGCUUACCAAGGCUUUGACGGGUAGCCGGCCUGAGAGGGUGACCGGCCACAUUGGGACUGAGAUACGGCCCAGACUCCUACGGGAGGCAGCAGUGGGGAAUAUUGCACAAUGGGCGGAAGCCUGAUGCAGCAACGCCGCGUGCGGGAUGACGGCCUUCGGGUUGUAAACCGCUUUCGCCUGUGACGAAGCGUGAGUGACGGUAAUGGGUAAAGAAGCACCGGCUAACUACGUG
RNAcentral lists this ribosomal RNA (467 nucleotides) under uncultured bacterium. RNAcentral describes it as "partial 16S ribosomal RNA". It matches the Rfam family "Bacterial small subunit ribosomal RNA", at positions 29 to 507 of the family's 1533-position model. The record is from RNAcentral.